Molecule: small nuclear RNA, 310 nt
Filed under: Lasius niger
Lineage: Eukaryota; Metazoa; Arthropoda; Insecta; Hymenoptera; Formicidae
Description: Arthropod 7SK RNA
Rfam family: Arthropod 7SK RNA
Source: Rfam by way of RNAcentral
GGAAGCGUGUGCUAGUGAUUGCACAACUGAACAUCGAUCGCUAACGUAUAGCAUUAUGGCAGAUCUGCUCAGUGGGUGUUAUCACGUUGUCGUAAGCUUCAAGUAGCUUCUGUAUCAGAGACUCCCGAUUGCGCAUGCAUCUUCGUGGCUCGUUUACGACCUCGGAUUUGCACGCCUGCACGGUCGAGUCUUCACGUCGCUCCUCGAAGUACCGCGAUUUCCAAAUUGGGGGGCAAUCGAAUAGGUCAGACGAGGUAAUUUGUCGCUUCCAUAUACAGGCACCGCAGAUCGCGGUACGCCAUUUUUUGUA